GAGUUUGAUCGUGGCUCAGGACGAACGCUGGCGGCGUGCUUAACACAUGCAAGUGGAGCGACGAACCAGGGCUUGCCCUGGGCAGAGCCGCGAACGGGUGAGUAACACGUGGGUAACCUACCCCGAUGACCGGGACAAACCCGAGGAAACUCGGGCUAAUACCGGAUGAACUCUUCUCACAUGAGUGAGAUUUGAAAAGGAGCUUCGGCCUCCGCAUUGGGAUGGGCCCGCGGCCCAUUAGCUUGUUGGUGGGUAACGCCUACCAAGGCUUCGAUGGGUAGCUGGUCUGAGAGGACGAUCAGCCACACUGGGACUGAGACACGGCCCAGACUCCUACGGGAGGCAGCAGUGGGGAAUCUUGCGCAAUGCGCGAAAGCGUGACGCAGCAACGCCGCGUGCGGGAAGACGGCCUCGGUU
Molecule: ribosomal RNA, 417 nt
Filed under: uncultured bacterium
Lineage: Bacteria
Description: bacterial SSU rRNA
Rfam family: Bacterial small subunit ribosomal RNA
Source: RNAcentral